RNAcentral lists this ribosomal RNA (253 nucleotides) under uncultured bacterium. RNAcentral's name for it is "partial 16S ribosomal RNA". It matches the Rfam family "Bacterial small subunit ribosomal RNA", at positions 524 to 776 of the family's 1533-position model. The record is from RNAcentral.
UACGAAGGUGGCAAGCGUUACUCGGAAUUACUAGGCGUAAAGGGCAGGUAGGCGGUUCGGUAAGUCUGUUGUGUAAGCUCCCGGCUUAACUGGGAGAGGUCAACGGAAACUACCGGACUUGAGUAUAGGAGAGGUUACUGGAAUUCCCGGUGUAGCGGUGAAAUGCGCAGAGAUCGGGAGGAACACCAAUGGCGAAAGCAGGUAACUGGACUAUUACUGACGCUCAGCUGCGAAAGCUAGGGGAGCAAACAGG